UCGAGGAAGGUGGAGGCGCCGCGGGUCGUCCUGCUCCGGCACCGAGGUGUCGCUGGUGGACGAGGCUCGCGCGUACGUGCAGGGCUCCGUCGUCGGCGAUCAUGGCCGUGGCUAGUUUUGGCCGUAGUUCGCACGGCCGCCGCGUGGGUGCGUAGGUAGCGACGUAGCCGACGAGCUUCAGAGGUAGACCAGAUUCAGUAGUACUAUGUUUUUU
This 214-nucleotide long non-coding RNA is filed under the name Brachypodium distachyon (stiff brome). RNAcentral's name for it is "long non-coding RNA (BDIS_LNC000543)". The record is from RNAcentral. Lineage: Eukaryota; Viridiplantae; Streptophyta; Magnoliopsida; Poales; Poaceae.